UAACGGCGAGUGAAGCGGCAUCAGCUCAAAUUUGAAAUCCGGCCCCGCGCGGGGCCCGAGUUGUAAUUUGCAGAGGGAGCUUCGGGCGCGGCGUCGGUCUAAGUUCCUUGGAACAGGACGUCAUAGAGGGUGAGAAUCCCGUAUGCGGCCGGCCGCCCACCCCGGGUGAAGCCCCUUCGACGAGUCGAGUUGUUUGGGAAUGCAGCUCUAAAUGGGUGGUAAAUUUCAUCUAAAGCUAAAUAUCGGCCGGAGACCGAUAGCGCACAAGUAGAGUGAUCGAAAGAUGAAAAGCACUUUGGAAAGAGAGUUAAACAGCACGUGAAAUUGUUGAAAGGGAAGCGCUUGCCGCCAGACCUGCCCGCGGGCGUUCACCCGCCAUUCGUGGCGGGGCACUCGCCCGCGCACAGGCCAGCACGGGUCCGGGCGGCGGGAGAAAGGGCCCGGGAAUGUAGCUCCCUUCGGGGUGCCUUAUAGCCCGGGCUGCCAUGCCGCCCGCCCGGACCGAGGACCGCGCUUCGGCUAGGGUGCUGGCGUAAUGGCGGCAAGCGACCCGUCUUGAAACACGGACCAAGGAGUCUAACAUCCACGCGAGUGUUUGGGCGUCAAACCCAGGCGCGGAAUGAAAGUGAACGGAGGUGGGAUCCCCGCGAGGGGCGCACCAUCGACCGAUCCAGAUGUCUUCGGAUGGAUUUGAGUACGAGCGUGGCUGUUGGGACCCGAAAGAUGGUGAACUAUGCCUGAAUAGGGUGAAGCCAGAGGAAACUCUGGUGGAGGCUCGCAGCGGUUCUGACGUGCAAAUCGAUCGUCAAAUUUGGGCAUAGGGGCGAAAGACUAAUCGAACC
RNAcentral lists this ribosomal RNA (842 nucleotides) under Leptogium cellulosum. RNAcentral describes it as "LSU rRNA". It matches the Rfam family "Eukaryotic large subunit ribosomal RNA", at positions 84 to 941 of the family's 3401-position model. The record is from RNAcentral. Lineage: Eukaryota; Fungi; Ascomycota; Lecanoromycetes; Peltigerales; Collemataceae.